ACUAGAUUGCCUACUUACAACCAGAUGAGGAUGAUGAUGGGCUCUAGCUGCAGUCUGUCUCCACUGGUCUGGUGUAGAACAGGCUUUCUGGAGGCGGUUUGUAACUGUGGUCACAAAAAUCAAUGUUCUGGGAGAAGGGGAAGCAGCUCCAUUUUUUGGGGGCCCUUUACACAGCUCAAGGUCUGGGUCCCAGGGUCCACCUUCAUGUUCCACCAAUGAGUUUGUUCACAGGGGGUGGAAUGUGUAGGGGAUGUCCUGAUGUGUGUAAGGAAUGAAUUGUGUGAAUCUGUGUUUGUAUGUGUAAGGG
Pelobates cultripes (western spadefoot toad) is the source of this 307-nucleotide non-coding RNA. Lineage: Eukaryota; Metazoa; Chordata; Amphibia; Anura; Pelobatidae. The record is from the annotation of a GenBank genome assembly.